This 402-nucleotide ribosomal RNA is filed under the name uncultured bacterium. RNAcentral describes it as "bacterial SSU rRNA". It matches the Rfam family "Bacterial small subunit ribosomal RNA", at positions 29 to 419 of the family's 1533-position model. The record is from RNAcentral.
AACGAACGUUAGCGGCGCGCCUAACACAUGCAAGUCGAGCGAGAAAGGGGCAACCCCGGUAAAGCGGCGCACGGGUGAGUAACACGUAGGUAAUCUACCCUCGGGUGGAGGAUAACUUUCCGAAAGGAAGGCUAAUACUGCAUGAGACCACGGUUCCGGAAGGGAUUGAGGUCAAAGCCGGCCACUGUACACAAGCUGGCGCCUGAGGAUGAGCCUGCGGCCCAUCAGCUAGUUGGUAGGGUAAUGGCCUACCAAGGCGAAGACGGGUAGCUGGUCUGAGAGGAUGAUCAGCCACACUGGAACUGAGACACGGUCCAGACUCCUACGGAGGCAGCAGUGGGGAAUCUUGCGCAAUGGGCGAAAGCCUGACGCAGCGACGCCGCGUGAGUGAUGAAGGCCUUC